Cryptotermes secundus is the source of this 2514-nucleotide long non-coding RNA. RefSeq lists it as uncharacterized. The transcript is spliced from 2 exons. Lineage: Eukaryota; Metazoa; Arthropoda; Insecta; Blattodea; Kalotermitidae. The record is from RefSeq and is a predicted model, not a curated record.
UUAUGGUAUUACGACGAAUCUUACGGAUACAUUUUCUGUAAGUUUUUUUUCCUUCAAAAGUUUCACCAAUAAACACUUCAAUAGUGAACUUCAUUUUAGUAUAAACAUCUACCGCCUAUCGACACCUCUAACACAGACUAAGUAUUAAUGUGACAUACUGCAGUGAUAAGAUCAGACCACCUGAAGUCCCCCGUUUAUCAGUGCUAAUGACUCAUUCUGCUAUUGGCAGUUACAGCAGCACUCUGGGAGAAAUGUUGGGCCGGUUCAGCCAUAUUGCCAGGUUUCCUCAAUGAUUGAACGCCAUUGUGGGUUGUCGAUGUUCACGGAGCCAACUACCUGAAACUACAAUAAAUGCUCGUUGCUCUUAGAACGCGUAUUACAGACGAGCAGGGAGCAUGUCUGAAGAAUACGGGUGAAGACUCCUUUUGUAGCAGUUAGCCCGGUCUAGUGAUGACAGUCCUGAGUGGAGGCUCCUAAAAGGGCCGUUUUAGUCUAGCUGAGUCUUCCUUAUAGCGAGGAAGCAAGCGCGGCGUUCUUCAUUGCGGCAGCAAUAUAUCCUGUCCGGAAAUAUGCCAUAUGUCUCUCAUAAACUGGGCGACAAAUUCCAGAUGGCAGAACUACCGCGGUGAGCAUUUCGCCCACUUCUGCUGGAAGGCGUAGGUGAUGGGCAUGUGGUCGGCGAAGAUGGUGAAGUGACGCGCUUCCAGCAUAUGGCAGAAAUGAUUUACAGCCUCGCAGAUAGCCAGUAGCUCGCAGUCAUAGGCGCUGUACUUCUCCUGCGCCUGCUUGUGUGUUUCUAGGAUAAGGCAAGGAGCUGCCAUGUGUUCCUGACGUGUUGUUGUAGCACAGUACCCAUGUCGGGCGUGGAGGCAUCUGUGACCAGUGCAAGUGGCGUGGAUGGAUCCGGGUGAGCCAGUAGAGUGGUGCUUGAUAAAGUCGCCUUGCACUGCUCCUACCGCCAGCAGAAUUCCAAAUCAUCCGGAUCAACAACACUGAGACAGUGGACUACACCAGCGCGUGCACUACAGCGCCGGGCCAGCUAGACUCCACUCUCACGCCGGGUGGCCAUAAAGAAGGCCUGGACUCUCCGACUAGGCUCGCCGCUAUCCUGCCUGCUCUUAACCGCUCAGCGACCAUAAAGGAAGGCCCACGCUACUACUAGCGCAAGCACGGCGGAACAAACGGCCCUUUUCAGGGCCCGCAAACUUGUGAGCAACAUAUGUAUAUGGUGUGACAUAUUGCGCUAUGGAGGACAUCCCUUCUCCCCCCAGCGGUGACGUAACAACAUCGAGCGCUGUCGCUACUAUGGCAACAGGCCAGUCAAUACUCCGCCCCCUCCCGUGCGGUGACGUGUCAGCACUUCCCACUGUAACGUAACAGGCGACAACACCGGUAAACACGGCGACUAGGCAAAAUGGAAGCGAGGUGUCUUCCAUUGUCUGGCUGAGGGUUUAUAAGAGAACUGCACUGCUUAAGGAGUCAGUUAAAAUGUAGCAGUCGCCAAAGACAGUUUAAAUAUAGCAGCAGUUGGGGAAAGAAGAACCAAAUGCGUGGUUAGAAGAUUUGAAUAAUUGUGAUAAUAAUGUGAUACUUUGUGAUACUGCCAAUGGCAGUAAUUGGGAAACUUAAUUGUAUAACUGUAAGAGUGAGUGUACAAUAAAUUCGCUAUAUCAAAUAAGGCGUGAAGUUACUUGUCGCACAUGCAUACCCAACACGUGACAAUUUGGUGUCACAAUAUAUAUAUUGAUUCAGCUUCGCAGCUAUCUGUACAUUUGAAAAUAAUAUACACAAUUGUUAUAGUUUUGCGUGGUUUUCUCGUAGAACAUAGACAUACCACACUUCUAUUAACUUUAAGAAAAACAGUUUUCUACAAUAAUUGUAGUACUUUUAUUCCCAAGACAAGUUCUCUUAUUAGACACGAAAUUUUAACAGAGCAUUGAAAUUAUUUUAUUACAAAUUAUUUAAGGCACACAGCUGAGUAAACCAUGGCUUUAAAUACUGAGUAAUUUUUCCAUGUUACUAUUAUUAAACCACUGUCAACUUUCAUUUAUCACAAAGUAGUGUACUUGCUUUUAAAACGUUUCACUUAAGCCUACUGCUAUGAUAUUCAACUGAAGUCGAAUAGGUAUCCAUUACAGUACAGAGUGACAUUGACCUUCAGUUAACAUCAAGAAAUAAUCAUCUUCUUUUGCUGUGUCAUUCAUUUCAUUCACUGGGCUAUGAAAAUGUAUUAUUUUGUUGAUUUUCUUUCAUAUUAUCAUAAAAUUUCAUUAUUUGGGGGCAAUGGUGAGAAAAUGAGAAAAUGAUGUGCAGGAAAAGGGUUUAGGGAUGAAAUAAAAACCCUCUGUCUGAGUUGUGAACAGAAAGAUGUCUAUUGUCAUUUAAUAAUAGAUGCACUGAAUAUUUAUUUAAUAUUCGUUUAAUAGCAGAUAGACUAAACAUGGUCCCUGAAGCAGUUAGUCUGCUGCAACAUGUCAUUUAAUAUAUACAUACUGCUCUGAUGCAAUAUAAAAG